UACGUAGGGUCCAAGCGUUAUCCGGAAUCACUGGGCGUAAAGCGCGCGUAGGCGGCUACUUAAGUCGGAUGUGAAAGCCCCUGGCUCAACUGGGGAAGUGCACCCGAAACUGAGUGGCUUGAGUACAAAAGAGGGUCGCGGAAUUCCCGGUGUAGAGGUGAAAUUCGUAGAUAUCGGGAGGAACACCGGUGGCGAAGGCGGCGACCUGGGUUGAUACUGACGCUGAGGCGCGAAAGCGUGGGGAGCAAACAGG
This 253-nucleotide ribosomal RNA is filed under the name uncultured bacterium. RNAcentral's name for it is "partial 16S ribosomal RNA". It matches the Rfam family "Bacterial small subunit ribosomal RNA", at positions 524 to 776 of the family's 1533-position model. The record is from RNAcentral.